AUCUGAAAUCAAGUGGGACUACCCGCUGAACUUAAGCAU
RNAcentral lists this ribosomal RNA (39 nucleotides) under Utharomyces epallocaulus. RNAcentral's name for it is "partial 28S ribosomal RNA". The record is from RNAcentral. Lineage: Eukaryota; Fungi; Mucoromycota; Mucoromycetes; Mucorales; Pilobolaceae.